RNAcentral lists this ribosomal RNA (495 nucleotides) under uncultured Glomeromycotina. RNAcentral describes it as "partial small subunit ribosomal RNA". It matches the Rfam family "Eukaryotic small subunit ribosomal RNA", at positions 591 to 1092 of the family's 1831-position model. Lineage: Eukaryota; Fungi; Glomeromycota. The record is from RNAcentral.
CCAAUAGCGUAUAUUAAAGUUGUUGUGGUUAAAAAGCUCGUAGUUGAACCUUGGGCCUGGCUGGCCGGUCCGCCUCACCGCGUGUACUGGUCCGGCCGGGCCUUUCCCUCUGUGGAACCUCAUGCCCUUCACUGGGUGUGACGGGGAAGCAGGACUUUUACUGUGAAAAAAUUAGAGUGCUCCAAGCAGGCCUAUGCUCGAAUACAUUAGCAUGGAAUAAUAAAAUAGGCCGUGCGGUUCUAUUUUGUUGGUUUCUAGGACCGUCGUAAUGAUUAAUAGGGACAGUCGGGGGCAUCAGUAUUCAAUUGUCAGAGGUGAAAUUCUUGGAUUUAUUGAAGACUAACUACUGCGAAAGCAUUUGCCAAGGAUGUUUUCAUUAAUCAGGAACGAAAGUUAGGGGAUCGAAGACGAUCAGAUACCGUCGUAGUCUUAACCAUAAACUAUGCCGACUAGGGAUCGGACGAUGUUAUUUUUUGACUCGUUCGGCACCUUACG